This 468-nucleotide ribosomal RNA is filed under the name uncultured bacterium. Its description in RNAcentral is "partial 16S ribosomal RNA". It matches the Rfam family "Bacterial small subunit ribosomal RNA", at positions 28 to 507 of the family's 1533-position model. The record is from RNAcentral.
GACGAACGCUGGCGGCGUGCUUAACACAUGCAAGUCGAACGGAAAGGCCCUGCUUUUGUGUUUUUCUCGAUUGGCGAACGGGUGAGUAACACGUGAGUAACCUGCCCUUGACUGUGUGAUAACUUCAGGAAACUGCGGCUAAUACCGCAUAUGAUCUCCUGCUGCAUGUGGUUGGUUGGUAAGUGUCGGCGGUUGGGUAUGGACUCGCUGGUUAUCAGCUUGUUAGUCUGGUAGUGGCUUACCAAGGCUUUGACGGGUAGCCGGCCUGAGAGGGUGAACGGCGACAUUGGGACUGAGAUAGGGACCAGAAUGCUACGGGAGGCAGCAGGGGGGAAUAUUGCACAACGGGGGGAAGCCAGAGGUAGCAACGCCGGGUGCGGGAUGACGGGCUUCGGGUUGUAAACAGAUUUCGCAUGUGACGAAGAGUGCGUGACGGUAAUGGGUAAAGAAGCACCGGCUAACUACGUG